RNAcentral lists this ribosomal RNA (301 nucleotides) under uncultured bacterium. RNAcentral describes it as "partial 16S ribosomal RNA". It matches the Rfam family "Bacterial small subunit ribosomal RNA", at positions 509 to 807 of the family's 1533-position model. The record is from RNAcentral.
CAGCCGCCGCGGGAAUACGUAGGGUGCAAGCGUUAAUCGGAAUUACUGGGCGUAAAGCGUGCGUAGGCGGUUUGUUAAGUCUGCUGUGAAAUCCCCGGGCUCAACCUGGGAAUGGCAGUGGAUACUGGCAAGCUAGAGUGUGUCAGAGGAUGGUGGAAUUCCCGGUGUAGCGGUGAAAUGCGUAGAGAUCGGGAGGAACAUCAGUGGCGAAGGCGGCCAUCUGGGACAACACUGACGCUGAGGCACGAAAGCGUGGGGAGCAAACAGGAUUAGAUACCCGCGUAGUCCCUGUCUCUUAUAC